Molecule: long non-coding RNA, 2823 nt
Organism: Cyanistes caeruleus (blue tit)
Lineage: Eukaryota; Metazoa; Chordata; Aves; Passeriformes; Paridae
Source: RefSeq, a predicted model, not a curated record
CCCAAUGGCCCGGCGUGAGGGGCGCGAUGGUGUCCGGGGGAGUUGUGUGUUUGCACUCAUACAGGGGUGCUGGCGGUGCUGGUACUAACAGGGUAGCUCCAGCGUCGGAGCAGAGGCUGCGCGGAAGGCAAAGGGAGCAAAAUCAGAUCCCAGCCGCAGGGUUCAGGUUGUCGACAUGUAGGUCGUGUCUGUGACCUGGUUCAUAGCGACCAAAUACCCGAGGACAGCUGUGCUGGUGACGCACUGGCCCCAGAUCAGCAUGUGGCCUUUUUUUACUGUCACUAGAGCUAAGAAGGGGCUGACACCGCGCUCUCAGGGACGGCUCAUCUCCCAGGGUCACAGUCGAUCUGGGAAAAGCCCCUUGACCUUUCCUCUUUGCUGGAGAAGGAGCUUUGAUCUCCAGUGCUGCCUGGCCUUUUCCCGACACGCCAAGUCCACUUCACUGGGGGCAGGGUUUGAGUUACGCAUUGAAGAAUGGAAUUAAUGUCACAUCUGAAAUCUUCGUCUGUAACAGCAGGAUCAUGUGGCAGUAAAAUAAUACAAAACAAUUGUUCCUUAAUAUUUGCAUACAACUCCCCAGUUGAAUUUUAUAUGCAUAUGUUUACAGAAACAGACAUGUAAACUCUUUUUCAUGGGAGGGAAGAUCAAAUUCCUCACAAGAAAUCUGUGCACUUAGUUUAAUAGACAGAGGAAAAUACUUUAGCUUGUCAAUAGACUGUGUUUUUUAACUUUAUCUCAUUUUUGUCUUCCUAGUAUAUAUGUUAUCCCUAGUUAUGAUUCUACUCCCCCUGUACUUUUUGUUUUAUUAUUUUAUUGCUCCCUGUUUUAUUAUUUUAUUGGGGGAGUUAUUAUGUUAUUUUUCCAUGAAACACAUUCUGGUUUACUGCAGUGAUCAAAUGUUGGCAUAUGAAAUAUGAAAUGAAGCAAAAUAUAGACAUGAAAUACCAGCAAAUAUAAUGACUUUGAUUUUUCCUGUCCUUGCUAAAAAUUAAAAUUUAAGAAUUUGCCAUUUGCUUUUGACUUUUUAAACUUGGUUUGCCUGCAAGUUGCAGAUGAGCCACAGAAGUGAAAAUAUAAUACAAAUUUGUUUAAACCAUCAAACCUGUAGGAUAGCUUUUGUUUUGUUCCACUUUCUUCCUGAGGCCACUAAUUCGUGACAAGCAGGAAUCUCAAAAUUAACUCUCUGCAAUAAAAUCUGGGUCAGGAAGCUCUCUGCAGCAGGCAGUUAUUGCAAUUUAUAAGGUCACUAUUUCUAUUCCUACAAGAUACUUUAUUUAAUCUGUUAGUGUGCUGAACCUGCUUAAUAUAAGUAACUCGAAUAUCCUUUGUGAGUAGUCUGAAUAGGGAAAUAGUCUACUAAGAACAAUUUCUGUUGUUUGCAUUAAUUUUCUUUACAGCAACUUCUUUUCUUAAUGUUUUCCCUGGUAGUUAUAUGCAGUAAGGUAUGAACAAAUAUCUUGCAUAUUCAGUUUAGCUGUGAACAAAGGUAAUAUUGUAGCUGCAGGAAAUACAGGAAGCGUGUUAGCUUCCCCAUUUGUUAAAAGGACAAAGUUCCAGUAACUCAAAACCUGGGUGUUUUUCAAAUCAAAACAAACUUCUACAAGAAUUUUGCACAUCAGAAGCACAACUGAGUUUUUUUUACUCAGAUGAGCUUCUAAAAGAAGCAUGUCUCCUUCAUAAUUCAGAUUUGUUUCUUGCUUUGUAUGAUGGUUAUGUAUUACAGGCGGUUCUGAACAACAUAAAUUUCCAUUCUUGCUUAUAUCUGUGAAGUAACUACUGUGGUAGUCCUGAAUGUUGAGCAAGAAAGCUAAGUUUUAGGCACAAAUGUAACAAUAUAUGAUGGUUCAUCAUCAGCCAAACUGCAGGUGAGCUAGGCAGGUGCAAAUUGUAACCACUUCAUAUAAUGCGUCCAUCUAUCCUGUCUUUAGCAGUGUUCUCACUUUAUUUCCUCUCCAGACCACUGUUUCACCCUCCUUCUGAAACAUGUGACAGUUUUAAUUGCAGGUGUCAGAGAACAAUGACUCUGAAGGACAGUGCCAAAUUCUGAACUGCGGUACUCAUCAGAGCGGGUCUCAUUUCUGCUGAUUAGAUAUUUUAACUUUCCUCUUCUGAACUGCCCUGGGGCAAGUUUUAAAAAGGCAGUAACAGCACUUGCAGUUGCUUGGUCACAGUAAUGUUUUGCUGACUGUGCUUAAGAAAAUGGAGCUGCGUUAACAUUCUGCUUUUUUCCACAACAGAUGGGUCCAGAAGAGUGGAAUGAAUGAAGCCUGGAUUCCUGUCCAUUUGCCUCCUAAUAGCUCUCCAUUGCAAUCAGCUGUCGCCUCAUGUUUCUUACGUCCUCACCCCUGCUGGAGACACAACGUGCCGUACUUAGAGCUGUGUUCCUGGUCAGCCAGCAUGUGUAAUAACUGGCCAUGUUGCUGAUGUCUAAUGGAAGUGCUCUGCCAAUGUCUUGCUCAUGGGCUUUCAGAGGAAACAUAGGAUAUCUGAAUUGAGAGAGACCAUCAGGGAGAUCUGGUGACAGCAACCAGGGGCAGGAAAGGAGGAGGAACUGAUAAUUCCCCCAUGUGAGGACCAACAUCUGAGUGCAUUGUGAUCAGGACUGUGAUCAGAAGGGAAGCAAGGGACACCUAACCCUGGAACUGCCUGUCUCUUCUCCAAAUGUGAAAGUUGACUUACAGACUGACAUUGAGCAGACAGACACUACUGUAUCCCAUCUUUGGCAUAGUGAAAAUAUGUGCUAAGGAAGCUGUUGCAAAACAGAAAGGCUCAUUCUUCCUGGCCCAGAAAAAAGCCAUCUCAUGAUUCUGAGUGUGGCAGUGG